This 260-nucleotide ribosomal RNA is filed under the name uncultured bacterium. RNAcentral's name for it is "partial 16S ribosomal RNA". It matches the Rfam family "Bacterial small subunit ribosomal RNA", at positions 333 to 590 of the family's 1533-position model. The record is from RNAcentral.
CCACUCCUACGGGGGGCAGCAGUGAGGAAUAUUGGUCAAUGGGCGGGAGCCUGAACCAGCCAAGUCGCGUGAGGGAUGACGGCCCUACGGGUUGUAAACCUCUUUUGUCGGGAAGCAAGACCCGCCACGAGUGGCGGAGCGAGAGUACCCGAAGAAAAAGCAUCGGCUAACUCCGUGCCAGCAGGCGCGGUAAUACGGAGGUCUCAAGCGUUGUUCGGAAUCACUGGGCGUAAAGCGUGCGUAGGCUGUUUCGUUAGUCG